This 367-nucleotide ribosomal RNA is filed under the name uncultured Sphingobacteriales bacterium. RNAcentral describes it as "bacterial SSU rRNA". It matches the Rfam family "Bacterial small subunit ribosomal RNA", at positions 1014 to 1382 of the family's 1533-position model. The record is from RNAcentral. Lineage: Bacteria; Pseudomonadati; Bacteroidota; Sphingobacteriia; Sphingobacteriales.
UUCCCUUCGGGCUUUCUGCAAGGUGCUGCAUGGUUGUCGUCAGCUCGUGCCGUGAGGUGCCGGGUUAAGUCCCAUAACGAGCGCAACCCUUAUCGUUAGUUGCCAUCUGGUAAUGCAGGGGACUCUAGCGAAACUGCCACCGUAAGGUGAGAGGAAGGUGGGGAUGACGUCAAAUCAGCACGGCCCUUAUGUCCAGGGCUACACACGUGUUACAAUGGUCGGUACAGAGGGCAGCUACCUGGUGACAGGAUGCUAAUCUCGAAAACCGGUCUCAGUUCGGAUCGAAGUCUGCAACUCGACUUCGUGAAGCUGGAUUCGCUAGUAAUCGCGCAUCAGCUAUGGCGCGGUGAAUACGUUCCCGGGCCUU